GUCCUGUUCUGGAGCGAGGCCUCCUUUCGUGGCCGCCCUACAUCCCUGCGCUGCCGCGCUUCAGUCGCUGCCCUCCAUCCUCGCCGCCCUCCAUCCUGGUCGAGGUCGCCGCUCCGCUUCACUCGCCGCCCUCCAUCCGCGUCGAUCCUGGACAAGGUCGCCGCGACCCUCCAUCACUUCGCCGCCGCGCUGAACACCUCGACGAUCCGGCGCGGGUCCUGGAUCAGGGGUCGCCGCCGCCCUCCACUUCAGGAGACGGAGCCGAUCGCGUUGAGGAUCCGCCGCCCUCGCACGUUAGAGCCGCCGCCCUCGCACGAGGGAUCCGGCGACAGUCCCCUUCAGGAGGACGCCAAUCCCCCAGAUCCGGCGCUGUUCCCGUUGAGGUCCUGAUGCCGAUCAGCGCGACAGACCCGAUGGCAGCUGACGGGUGUGGAGGGAGGUGGGGUAGAUCCAGUGCGUGUGCGUGCUGAACUGCUGAUGAACCGGUUGUAGCGCUCAAUCCCUGCCAAGGGCCAGCGUGGUCUCUGGAAGAGGUUUGGUCCGGGCAUGGUUGGUGAUUCCCAGGGUUGCCGGUCUUCAUCUCUGCUGUCCAAUGAUUCUUUUAUUACAGUUGAAGGCGCCUGUCAUUGGUGUGCAAGCCAGACCUGAGGGACGACCAACAGAACAUCCUUGAGAAGACGAUAGCACCCAUCAUCCAAUCGUUCCAUGGGAUUGUGACCUGCAUUGAAAUUUCAGUGCUAUGCGUUCUGCCAGACUGAGAUCAAAAAGACCCCCAUUGUAUCAAUUUACAUUCGUAACACUUUAUUAUGUCAAUUUGUUGAUUGUUCUAACAGUUGCUCAGCCUCACGUAAUAUUCCAACAGUGCAUAUUUUUUGUAAUUUUGAUUGUUCGUUAGAGUUCUAGAUACUAUGCUCGAGUAGAGUAGGUUUACUAUAACAGAUUGUUUAGGAAUCACAAGUGCAGAAGGUCUUCUACCAUCUGUGGUGUGAGGGUUUUGAAGCAGAUAUUCAUUCUAUGUGACCACGACGGGGAUGAAAUAGGGAAACAAGAUUCAGAUAUAUGAUUUGAGGUUCGUAGUGGAGAAGAGCUGUGAGAAACUGCAGUUGCUUUCUUUUAUUGGCAGUUUUGGCAGAACAGGGGAAGUGCACAC
Long non-coding RNA from Triticum dicoccoides, 1150 nucleotides. RefSeq lists it as uncharacterized. The transcript is spliced from 4 exons. The record is from RefSeq and is a predicted model, not a curated record. NCBI's taxonomy places the organism in Eukaryota, Viridiplantae, Streptophyta, Magnoliopsida, Poales, Poaceae.